This 495-nucleotide ribosomal RNA is filed under the name uncultured bacterium. RNAcentral's name for it is "partial 16S ribosomal RNA". It matches the Rfam family "Bacterial small subunit ribosomal RNA", at positions 28 to 507 of the family's 1533-position model. The record is from RNAcentral.
GACGAACGCUGGCGGCGUGCCUAAUACAUGCAAGUCGAACGCUGAAGGAGGAGCUUGCUUCUCUGGAUGAGUUGCGAACGGGUGAGUAACGCGUAGGUAACCUGCCUGGUAGCGGGGGAUAACUAUUGGAAACGAUAGCUAAUACCGCAUAAUAGUAGAUGUCGCAUGACAUUUGCUUAAAAGGUGCAAUUGCAUCACUACCAGAUGGACCUGCGUUGUAUUAGCUAGUUGGUGAGGUAACGGCUCACCAAGGCAACGAUACAUAGCCGACCUGAGAGGGUGAUCGGCCACACUGGGACUGAGACACGGCCCAGACUCCUACGGGAGGCAGCAGUAGGGAAUCUUCGGCAAGGGACGGAAGUCUGACCGAGCAACGCCGCGUGAGUGAAGAAGGUUUUCGGAUCGUAAAGCUCUGUUGUAAGAGAAGAACGAGUGUGAGAGUGGAAAGUUCACACUGUGACGGUAGCUUACCAGAAAGGGACGGCUAACUACGUG